GGUAAGAUGGCCGAAGCAAGCGGUGGAUUGUAGCCCCAUAUAUAGAGGUUUGAGUCCUCUUCUUACCA
This 68-nucleotide transfer RNA is filed under the name Mallotus villosus (capelin). RNAcentral's name for it is "tRNA-Tyr". It matches the Rfam family "tRNA". Rfam says of the family: Transfer RNA (tRNA) molecules are approximately 80 nucleotides in length. Their secondary structure includes four short double-helical elements and three loops (D, anti-codon, and T loops). The record is from RNAcentral. Lineage: Eukaryota; Metazoa; Chordata; Actinopteri; Osmeriformes; Salangidae. RNAcentral also lists the same sequence under 2 other names.